AACUGUCCUACACAACCUAUCUUGUCAAGGAAAAUUUUUUAGCAAUCCCCGGUUUUGUCUUUUUAUUGGUUAACCAUGAAUUUACCUAUCUUUAUUAAGCCCCCAUGCCAUUUUCUUUUCAUCAUGUCCGUACAUGGGUUAUUUUAGGAAUUUUGAGAAUUUAUUUGUCCCAGGAUUUGCAUUAUUUGUCAUGUUGAUGUUUG
Molecule: long non-coding RNA, 203 nt
Filed under: Glycine max (soybean)
Lineage: Eukaryota; Viridiplantae; Streptophyta; Magnoliopsida; Fabales; Fabaceae
Description: long non-coding RNA (GMAX_LNC004519)
Source: RNAcentral